RNAcentral lists this ribosomal RNA (253 nucleotides) under uncultured bacterium. RNAcentral's name for it is "partial 16S ribosomal RNA". It matches the Rfam family "Bacterial small subunit ribosomal RNA", at positions 524 to 776 of the family's 1533-position model. The record is from RNAcentral.
UACGUAGGGUCCGAGCGUUGUCCGGAAUUACUGGGCGUAAAGAGCUCGUAGGUGGUUUGUCGCGUUGUUCGUGAAAACUCACAGCUUAACUGUGGGCGUGCGGGCGAUACGGGCAGACUAGAGUACUGCAGGGGAGACUGGAAUUCCUGGUGUAGCGGUGGAAUGCGCAGAUAUCAGGAGGAACACCGGUGGCGAAGGCGGGUCUCUGGGCAGUAACUGACGCUGAGGAGCGAAAGCGUGGGGAGCGAUCCGG